This 52-nucleotide microRNA precursor is filed under the name Ailuropoda melanoleuca (giant panda). Its description in RNAcentral is "mir-1302 microRNA precursor family". It matches the Rfam family "mir-1302 microRNA precursor family". Lineage: Eukaryota; Metazoa; Chordata; Mammalia; Carnivora; Ursidae. The record is from Rfam by way of RNAcentral.
UUUUUAGUGUAAGUAUGUCUCACUCAAUAUUUGGGAUAUACUUGUACUGAAA